ACUACGGGGUGCUGCAGUGAGGAAUAUUGGUCAAUGGACGCAAGUCUGAACCAGCCAUGCCGCGUGCAGGAAGAAGGUGCUAUGCAUUGUAAACUGCUUUUAUACGGGGGUAAUUACAGAUACGUGUAUCUGGAUGAAAGUACCGUAUGAAUAAGGAUCGGCUAACUCCGUGCCAGCAGCCGCGGUAAUACGGGGGAUGCAAGCGUUAUCCGGAUUUAUUGGGUUUAAAGGGUGCGUAGGCUGUGAGGUAAGUCAGCGAUGAAAUGCCCCCGCUCAACGGGGUGAAGUGCCAUUGAUACUGCCUUGCUGGAAUGCGGAUGCGGUGGGAGGAAUGUGUGGUGUAGCGGUGAAAUGCAUAGAUAUCACACAGAACACCGAUUGCGAAGGCAUCUCACGAAUCCGCGAUUGACGCUGAUGCACGAAAGCGUGGGUAUCAAACAGGAUUAGAUACCCUAGUAGUC
This 461-nucleotide ribosomal RNA is filed under the name uncultured bacterium. RNAcentral's name for it is "partial 16S ribosomal RNA". It matches the Rfam family "Bacterial small subunit ribosomal RNA", at positions 338 to 795 of the family's 1533-position model. The record is from RNAcentral.